This 380-nucleotide ribosomal RNA is filed under the name Agathomyia antennata. RNAcentral describes it as "partial 16S ribosomal RNA". Lineage: Eukaryota; Metazoa; Arthropoda; Insecta; Diptera; Platypezidae. The record is from RNAcentral.
CGAAGGUAGCAUAAUCAGUAGUCUAUUAAUUGUAGGCUGGUAUGAAUGGUUGGACGAAAUAUUAACUGUUUCAUUUAAAAUUUUUAUAGAAUUUUAUUUUUUAGUUAAAAAGCUAAAAUAUUAUUAAAAGACGAGAAGACCCUAUAAAUCUUAAUAUUUAUUGUAUUUUAAUUAUAAAGAUUAUUUUAGUUAUAAUUUAAAUAAAUAUUUUAUUGGGGUGAUAUUAAAAUUUAAUAAACUUUUAAUUUUAAAAACAUUAAUUUAUGAUUAAUUGAUCCAUUAUUAGUGAUUAAAAAUUUAAGUUACUUUAGGGAUAACAGCGUAAUUUUUUUGGAGAGUUCAUAUCGAUAAAAAAGAUUGCGACCUCGAUGUUGGAUUAA